UGUGCUAUCAUUUCGCCGGCACUAUUUGUAUAUUUCUUCUGCUUGCUCAAAAACCUAGCAAGGUCAACCAUAUUUACUAAGAAGUUCCUUCUCUCUGCCAUGUAACAAUUAUAAUGGAGGCUAUUAGUGGAAGCAAUUUUUUUUUUAUUUGUUACUUAUGUAAGUAAAGUUAUCGCAAAAAAACUAGAUCUACAAAUACUUUUUGGACCUACUGUAAGUUCUAUACUGAUAGCAAAGGUUCGGCAAGAGCGCUCACUUCGUGCUGGGUGUCACCAGGAGACUGCUAAAGAUGCGGAUUUCGAUUGACGGUUCGGCGUAUUUAGUUUUUGUCUGAACAUACUGUACGCCUUCUUCUAAGGCGAAGCAAGUUCGGACAAGAUAUUGUGUAGUGCCAGUCAAAACGUGUUACGAAGAAAGCGAGGGUGCCGAAGCCAUCAGAAAUAUAAAAAGCCACAACAGUGAAGCGAACCGCCACCGCGUCCGAGGCCCCGGCGGAUACGCGCAAAUAAAAAGGUUUAGUUAUAGUAAGCCAAGGGUUGUUCUUUACCCCCAUAUCAGUCCCCUUCAUUCCGCGAUCGGCCCCCUCGCAACGACCCUGGUUCGCUGAAGCGUCCGGCACCAGGGGGCCCGCGAGUCGCGUACGCCGCCGUGUCGCUUAGCAAUGCGGCAGGUGGAGAACAACAACGUUACAAUCUUA
Molecule: long non-coding RNA, 697 nt
Filed under: Megachile rotundata (alfalfa leafcutting bee)
Lineage: Eukaryota; Metazoa; Arthropoda; Insecta; Hymenoptera; Megachilidae
Description: uncharacterized LOC105661974, transcript variant X2
Source: RNAcentral